RNAcentral lists this ribosomal RNA (253 nucleotides) under uncultured bacterium. RNAcentral's name for it is "partial 16S ribosomal RNA". It matches the Rfam family "Bacterial small subunit ribosomal RNA", at positions 524 to 776 of the family's 1533-position model. The record is from RNAcentral.
UACGGGGGGGGUAAGCGUUGUUCGGAAUUACUGGGCGUAAAGGGCUCGUAGGCGGCCAACUAAGUCAUACGUGAAAUCCCUCAGCUUAACUGGGGAACUGCGUGUGAUACUGGAUGGCUUGGAUUUGGGAGAGGGAUGCGGAAUUCCAGGUGUAGCGGUGAAAUGCGUAGAUAUCUGGAGGAACACCGGUGGCGAAGGCGGCAUCCUGGACCAAUAUUGACGCUGAGGCGCGAAAGCCAGGGGAGCAAACGGG